GAGAGAAUGAGUCACGAUUGCCAUGUAGCUACCAGGAAGAUCGGACACCCAGGCAUUCUCUGAGAUAGGUUGGCUGACCCUGCCCUCCACUUCUGCUGCUUCCUGUGUGGUCUUUAAAUGGCAGUUCACACUCGUGAAGACUCUUUGAAGAAGACUUGAGCUUAACUCGAUGGAGCUUGUAUUGCUCACCCUGUUGGUGUCCAUGAUGGGAAAAGGCCAAAAGGCCGCGGUGAACUCCAGGUGAAGAGGAAGUGAGAUUAGCUGGCCUGGGAAGGCCUCCUGCUGCACAGGCGGAAACCCAGAUGGGUAUACACAGGCUGAAGGACUGGAUCAAUUUCGUGUAGCUCAAUGUGGCCUUGAACUAACAGAAAUCCAUCUGCCUGUCUUCUGAGUCCUGGGAUUAAAGAUAUAUGUCACUACCACCUGGCUCUAUGGCUAGCUCGUAUGGCUGCUGGGAUUAAAGUUUAUAAUAUCAGACAGACUGCCAGAUCCUGACGAUGACCCAAAGUCUCCAAAGAAGAUUAUGAGGCACCCCAGUUCCUGCACCUGGACCAGUGAGCGAGAUGCUCGGAUGUGAUACCUGCCGCUUGCCAGGACCUAGCCGAGACUGUGGACAAAGCUGCUGGACACUGGAAAAUUGAUUGCACCCCCUUUGCCUAGACAAAACAAGAACUCCACCUGGGAUUUAAUCUGGAAACCGGCAAGGGGAGUCCCCACCCCCACCCCCUCACCAUCACCCGGUGCUGCUGCUACAGAGGUUUCACAAUGCGGUUCUCCAGAGCUGCGCUGUGCAGAGGGUGAUCUGCUCAAGGUGCUGAAUCCCGGGGACCCUGAUUAGAGCAGAUGUCGCUGCGGGAACUGAGUCUAGACAUGGAAAUUGUGUCCCUAAUCUCCCAAACCCGCCUUUUCUACAUUCUCUGAAGACGCUGUUUCUGUCAACAGUCACUGUGGGAGCCAAGCCGGAAACACGUGUGCAAUCAGCAGCCGCAGCAUCUACAAAGCGUUAUGAAAUCCGUUCAAAAAUAG
RNAcentral lists this long non-coding RNA (1026 nucleotides) under Cricetulus griseus (Chinese hamster). Its description in RNAcentral is "lncRNA (ENSCGRG00015039290.1)". Lineage: Eukaryota; Metazoa; Chordata; Mammalia; Rodentia; Cricetidae. The record is from RNAcentral.